GAUGAACGCUGGCGGCGUGCCUAAUACAUGCAAGUCGAGCGAAUGGAUUAAGAGCUUGCUCUUAUGAAGUUAGCGGCGGACGGGUGAGUAACACGUGGGUAACCUGCCCAUAAGACUGGGAUAACUCCGGGAAACCGGGGCUAAUACCGGAUAACAUUUUGAACCGCAUGGUUCGAAAUUGAAAGGCGGCUUCGGCUGUCACUUAUGGAUGGACCCGCGUCGCAUUAGCUAGUUGGUGAGGUAACGGCUCACCAAGGCAACGAGGCGUAGCCGACCUGGGGGGUGGAUCGGCCACACUGGGACUGAGACACGGCCCAGACGCCUACGGGAGGCAGCAGUAGGGAAUCUUCCGCAAUGGACGAAAGUCUGACGGAGCAACGCCGCGUGAGUGAUGAAGGCUUUCGGGUCGUAAAACUCUGUUGUUAGGGAAGAACAAGUGCUAGUUGAAUAAGCUGGCACCUUGACGGUACCUAACCAGAAAGCCACGGCUAACUACGUGCCAGCAGCCGCCGUAA
Molecule: ribosomal RNA, 515 nt
Filed under: uncultured bacterium
Lineage: Bacteria
Description: partial 16S ribosomal RNA
Rfam family: Bacterial small subunit ribosomal RNA
Source: RNAcentral